UACGGAGGGGGCGAGUGUUGUUCGGAAUUACUGGGCGUAAAGGGCGCGUAGGCGGCCUGGCAAGUCGAGUGUGAAAGCCCUUGGCUUAACUGAGGAAUGGCGCUCGAAACUACCUGGCUUGAGGGCGGGAGAGGGAAGUGGAACUCUCGGUGUAGGGGUGAAAUCUGUAGAGAUCGAGAGGAACACCGGUGGCGAAGGCGGCUUCCUGGCCCGUCCCUGACGCUGAGGCGCGAAAGCGUGGGGAGCAAACAGGAUUAGAAACCCGCGUAGUCC
This 273-nucleotide ribosomal RNA is filed under the name uncultured bacterium. Its description in RNAcentral is "partial 16S ribosomal RNA". It matches the Rfam family "Bacterial small subunit ribosomal RNA", at positions 524 to 796 of the family's 1533-position model. The record is from RNAcentral.